GAUGAAGAACGCAGCGAAAUGCGAUAAUUAAUGUGAAUUGCAGAAUUUAGUGAAUCAUCGAAUCUUUGAACGCACAUUGCGCCCCUUGGUAUCCCGAGGGGCAUGCCUGUUCGAGCGUCAUUUCACCACUCAAGCCUGGCUUGGUGUUGGGCGACGUCCUCUUUGGGGACGCGCCUCGAAACGCUCGGCGGCGUGGCACCGGCUUUAAGCGUAGCAGAAUCUUUCGCUUUGGAAGUCGGGGCCCCGUCUGCCGGAAGACCUGCUCGCAAGGUUGACCUCGGAUCAGGCAGGGAUACCCGCUGAACUUAAGCAUAUCAAUAAGCGGAGGA
RNAcentral lists this unclassified non-coding RNA (329 nucleotides) under soil metagenome. RNAcentral's name for it is "partial contains 5.8S ribosomal RNA, internal transcribed spacer 2, and large subunit ribosomal RNA". The stretch from base 1 to 120 matches the Rfam family "5.8S ribosomal RNA", at positions 35 to 154 of the family's 154-position model. The record is from RNAcentral.